RNAcentral lists this long non-coding RNA (5743 nucleotides) under Sus scrofa (pig). Its description in RNAcentral is "lncRNA (ENSSSCG00050043987.1)". The record is from RNAcentral. Lineage: Eukaryota; Metazoa; Chordata; Mammalia; Artiodactyla; Suidae.
GACAAGAAACAGGGCCAGGUGUAGGGACAGAGGCUGGGGGAGUGAUUUUAAGUGAAUGAAUUACAUAGCCAGGUGCUAUAUGGGCAGGAUAUUUCAUUUGUUUAACAUUUGCACAGAAAACAAAUUUUCUUUGUUUCAGAAUUUAGUAACAUGUUUUCCAAAUGCUUUUUAAAGUAAAAUUUAGUGCCAUAUCUAAUAAAAUCAGCGAAAAGUAGAUAUUUAUUUUUUUCCUCUUCCUUACCAUCAGUGUAUUAUUCUGUCCUUGAUAUAGUGAUUUUAAAAAUAAACUUGAUUCUAUUCACAAGAACAUGUGUGCCCGAGUCCCGGGUGCAAGAAAAUUGGACCAUGGUAACUGCUGCCACCUUGUGGGAGAGUGAAAGAAAUUCAAGAUACUGUUAUCUCCCUAUACUCUUCAGCACCCUCUGAUUCAAACAUCCACCCUUUUCUUCAACAUUUACUCUAUGCCAGGCCUUGGCUGAUCUCUAGAAAUAAGAGACAAGUAAGACACAGCUGCGUCCUCAAGGUAUGCAGUAUGCAGAACGAAGUUGUCCUGACACAAUAUAUUAUUAAAUAUUGUCCCAGGAGAGAGUACCCUUCUUAGAUGCGGGUAGUGGAGGAACCCAAGAGACCUUCCCAAAGAGCAUAGUCCAGUGGUUUGUGGAUAGCCAGGCUGACUCUAUUCUAUGAUGCUUUGUGUUAUGGAAGUAAUUUCCUAGAAUUUUUUUUUUUUCUCCAAUCCUCUCAUUCUUUCCCAGUAAUAAGAAAAGAGAAGAGGCAGUUGUGGCUGUGGCACAAUGGGAUCAAUGGCGUCACUGGAAUGCUGGGACACAGGUUGAUCCCUGGCCACAGUGGGUUAAGUAUCCCAGGCUGCCACAAUUGCCCUGUAGGUCAGAACUGUGGCUCGGAUCUGAUCCCUGGCCAGGGAACUCCAUAUGCUGCAGGGCAGCCAAAAAAAAAUAAAGGGGGGUGGGGGUGGGAGAGAGCCAUUCCUUCCCUUUGACCUUACACACUUAAGGAAAAAAAAGAAAGAAAAGAAAGAAGAGGAAAGAUGAAAUGCUGACCAGCCUCAGAACCUCAGAGAGUAUAUGGAAUACCUUUCCUUUGCCUCUCCAGAUACACCUUUCACCCACCUUCAUCCCGUUUUGUCCCUGGAAGAUUGACCAGUGCGGACUGACUGUAUCCCCUCUCUCCCACACUGACUUUCAGUUCUGGUCAGAGAAUACUGGUGGAGAGCAGGCAUUGGCAAGAGAUCUGCCAAAGGAAGGAGAAUUCAAUCAUGGUAUACAUGUCAAGAUUCUCUUCCAUCCAGGCAGGAAUUCAACGGUAAAGUCUCCCCAUCUGUCCUUUCAGACCCUGCGAUGGUACCAGGGUCCAGCUGUUGCUAGCUACAGAGUGCUGAACUAAUCCUUGUGGUUUUCUUACACUCUGCCCACACCUUUAUAAAUAAUCCCUUAAAAUCAUCCUAAUUUGAGUGGGCUAUUGGUUUCCUGCUUCCCUGGCUGAUAUACAGGACGUUAAUUAAUAAAUGGUUGAGUAUAUAAAUUCUAUGUAAAUGAAUAACUGAAUGCAAUAAUUGAAUGAAUAAAGGCAUGAAUGAAUGAAUGAGUGCUAGGAUGAGUGUGUAAGAACUAAAUGCAGACAUGUAGAAUAUAUUAAUAUUGCAUGCAGGAAUAAGUGUAUAAUAACUAAGCAAAUGAAUACCCACAUGAAAUAUGAAUGGAAGCAUAAAUGAAGAAGGAAUUCAUAAAAACAUAGAGACCAGCUUAAAUAAAUUUGAAUGCCUGAUAUCACCACCUCCCCAUGUUCGCAUCUAUUUGAACACAUGCAAAGAAAAGGAGUGAAGAACAAGGCUAAAACAGGGCUAUUACACAGAAACAUAGUUUAGAGAGAGGCACUCAGAGGUUAGGUUAGGAAAAAGGACUCAAGAAAAGAAUAAGCUAAAUUUUGAAAGGGUGGAGCGUAAAAGUAGAGAUUUCCUUAGAGGGGCAGAAAAUAAAGAUGGAAUUGAGUGGAAGGAUUAAGCUCCUUCACUCUAGAGGAAAAUCAGCAGCAGUUCAGAGACUCAGAAGCAAGGAGGUGUGGGAAAGGAAGCUGGCCAGCAAGUAUUGCCAUGAGGAUCAGUUAAGCUAUGGUUGGGAGAAAUGGAAGCAUGUAAAUGCCACAUCUAGAGUCCAAAGAGGGAUGAUCAAUGAAAUAUUUUUCUUGGGACUCAUAUUCAUCCAUUGAACCAUUGUGUCAUGUUGCAGAAAUUACUUUCCAAAGGAUCAUGGCCACUGAUCUAACGCAUUUGUUCUGAAAAUGAGACCUUUGGUUGAGAGCCAGUUCAUGCUAAAACACGCAGAAGACAGAAUUAUCAAUUUAAGUCACAAACCUCCAAAUGGUAAUUGAACCCAUGUUUUCUAAUUUCCUCUCCCCCAAGCUCAAAUUCCAAUUUAAUUAUUAAAAGGAGGUAAUAGAACACAUUCAUACCUACAAAUACGGUUCAGGGAGGAUACAAUUCUCAUGCUAGAAACUUUAGAUAAACUCUAGAAAAUAUAAAAAGUAUCAUUCAGAAAAAGAAUCAUGUUUGUUGCUCUAUAAAUCCAAUUUCUAGGAAUUUUCUUAAGAAAAUAACCAUACAGCUAUAAGAAGAUACAGCGCAAAGAUGUUCACUGCAGUAUUGUUUAUACAAGUUAAAAAAAAAAAAACCAACAGUGUAAAUGUCCAUUAUUAGAAGACUGUAAAGAAAUAACUAAUAAUAGGUAAUACAUAUCAAACAUUGAUCUAAGUAUAUAUUAACUUGUCUAAUACAGUAAUUUUAAGAAGUAGUGUUAUUAUCCCCACUUUAGAAAUGAGGAGAUGGAGGCAUAGAGAGUUCAAUAUGAAAUUUAAUUUCACAGAGCUAGGAAUUGGUGGAACAAGCAUUUGAACUCAGUCUGGUCCAAUGUCUAGGUGCUUAAAACCAUGUCAUAUUGCUUUUAAAUAAUCAAAAUUCUUAUGCAUAUUUAUCCUCUUUGAUAGGGAAAGAUGCAUACAGUAUGUUGAUCUAAAAAUUAGUUUACAGAACAACACAUACAGUUGGAUCCCAUGCAUGAGAAAUUUCAAACAAAAGCACAGAGAGAUAGCUGGAUGAAUGGUCCCCCAAAUGGUAAUUUUUUACAAUUAGUAUGCAUCGUUUUAACAAAAAUGGUAAAGCUAAUGUCACAAAAUUGAGCAAUACCUCACUUGGACAUUCAUCCACCUCAUAUGUAGGAACAACAAUUGCCAUGGAUAUUGUAGGUUAAGGCCCUUAAUUAUCACCCUGGCUUUGCUAUAGAAACUACACUGGUUUGCCUCUGAUGCUUAAGUGUUAUAUUUUAGCCUCUACCUUUCUAGAACCCCAACAUCUCCUCUGAUAUCAAGGAGUUCCGUUUCAUGGUAGCAACUACAUGGCUUGCAGAAAACUGUGAUCACCAAACUUUCCAAGUAAAUGCCGGUGGCUUCUAACCAGUGCAUUUCUUAAUAUCUUUGUAAAGGGAAUGUCUGGCCCUCCUGCAGAACACAUGUUGUAAGUUCUUAGACCUUCCAUAAUAAAUCCAUUCUAAUAUUUCCUAUGCCAAGAACCAACUCAACACCAUGUCAAGGAAGUUCUGAAACUCCACUUCAUUUACUGUAAGCUUUCAUUAUGUCCGGGGUUCAAUGAGCCAUCACGAACAGGUCUUAAAACCAGUUCCAGUGUCUCUGGCAGACAUUAAGUCCUGAGUCAGCAGAAAAUACCUCCAUGCCAAUGAAUUCCCUUUCUUUCUACUUAGUCCCACGGUAAUAACACCUUUAAGAUCCACUCACAUAGCCUUUCCCUCAUUCUUUUCUGAUUAUAUUAGUAAGGUUCUGCAAUUCCUUUGGUGGGUAAUUUAUUUGUUCCUAGAACAGGGCUCAUGUUUCACUCCUAAGGCUGGACUUAGAACUGACUCUGGUUAUAAGCCUGAAGGAAAUAAGGGAUUGUAGGAGAACCAGCAUUAUCUUGUGAGGUGCAGGCUUCAUGCAGGGUCACUGCCCACCUCUAGGCAAGAGAGGGAAAGGAAAGAGCUAUUUCUGAUGGGUAGUAAGGCUUGGGGAAAUCUGAGAUUUAAGGUUCUAGACUCAUCUACCCUAUCCCAGGUCUCAGGGUCCCUUUCUUUCCAAAUAUCAGGGCCCUGAUUCUGAUGUAGGAGACCUGGUAAAUCUGCAUACCUAGUCCUCCUGGAGCUCUGCCACUCUCAUAACCAGAUCUGAGCCUGAUUUUCAGGAGAGUCUGCUGAGAUGAGUUGACUUUAGAGCUGCUGUAGAAUCCUUCUGUGGUUCAGGAGUCCCUUGAUUGGGCUAUGUAAGCAUGACUAGUUCAGGCAAAAAACAGGCCAGCUACGGCCCCACUCUUCAGGGCUGUGGUUUAAUAUUCCCUGGUAUGAGUCUGGGACCUUGCCUUCUUCCAAACUAGAACUGAGGAAGGAUGUUUAGAUGUGAGGAUGAAGGCAGUAUCUCUUCCUAUAGAAGGCUCUGUUGGUACCUGGAACAGGAUGCAUUCAGAGGGCACCCAGCGGGGUAGGGGACACUGGGAGACACAGGGCUUUGUGGCACAUACUACUGUGGCUCCUUAUACUCUGGAAGACCCGGCCACCCUCAAAUUUUGCCUAGAUUCCUAAUUAGCACUUACACUGGUCAAGUCAUAGUUUUUAAUAAUAGCAGUCCUGCAGAGUCAUUUGGAAAUUUUAUUUUUGCCUGGAAAAGAAACAGCAGCCAUGGGUGAUGGAAGGGAAAUCCUGCACCCAACAAUUAACACAAAUUUUUUAAAAAAUCAUUUAGGAUGAUAGGCAUUUCUGGCACCUGCAACUCUCAUUAGCAAACUGGGUCUGCUUCUUGGUGGAUGUCCAUCAAGCCAAAAAACACAACCAAGCCCAAGUGUGGGAGAAGGAAGGAUUUAUUACUCGCAGCAAGUAAGGAGAACACUGAGAAUCUUUCCCAAAGCAGUGUCUCCCCAAACAGCAAAAUUGGGGAAGUUUUAAGCUAAGGAUACAUGUAUAUUCAUGAAGGGGCUAAUCUUUACCUUCAAAACAGGGCUAGGAGGAAUUCUUUUAUGGUGCAGCAGGUUAAGUAUUUGGCAUUGUCACUGCAAUGGCUUGAGUCACUGCUCUUGCGCAGGUUCAAUCCCUGGUGCAGGAACUUCCACAGGCUGUGGUUGCAACCAAAAAAGAAAGACAGCGAGGAAAAAAAAAAAAUAGAACUAGGAAUCUUUACAAUUUAUCUACUGUUUCUAAUAUGGCUAAGUUAUUUCCCUGAUCUAAUAAUAAGAGUUCUUACAUUCUUUUGUUUCCAUAGAAUCAUUAAUUACUGCGACCUAUUCUGUAAGAGCAAGCAUGGUGGCCAGGCUUAGAUCCAAAAAUGGCUUGGGCCUAAAAUAGCUUCUCUUAUGUCAAGAAAGUUCCAUCUAGUUCUUUUCCUUUAGGGACUCCCUACCUUAUUUACCUACAGUUGGGGAGAAGGAAGUCAGGGCCAGCCAGGGCCUUCCAGGGUUCUGGAAGCUUUGAGGACAGCCCAGGACUUGUGGGAUGGCCCGGUCCUCACCAAAUUCCCAUUUGGUGCUAGGAGCCUGCUGCUAUUGGUAUCAGAUCACAGAUUUGUACCACCGCUCCCUGCCCCUCAACACCCUGCCCACCAAAUUGGUACUCAGAACCUUUGCAUACCUUUGCCUUCUAGGCUAGGAGAGUGGGGAGAAAGUGGUUGCUGUGCAGCCUUAAAGGGCCAUCUCUGG